GAUGAACGCUGGCGGCGUGCCUAAUACAUGCAAGUCGAGCGAACAGACGAGGAGCUUGCUCCUCUGACGUUAGCGGCGGACGGGUGAGUAACACGUGGAUAACCUACCUAUAAGACUGGGAUAACUUCGGGAAACCGGAGCUAAUACCGGAUAAUAUAUUGAACCGCAUGGUUCAAUAGUGAAAGACGGUUUUGCUGUCACUUAUAGAUGGAUCCGCGCCGCAUUAGCUAGUUGGUAAGGUAACGGCUUACCAAGGCAACGAUGCGUAGCCGACCUGAGAGGGUGAUCGGCCACACUGGAACUGAGACACGGUCCAGACUCCUACGGGAGGCAGCAGUAGGGAAUUUUCCGCAAUGGGCCAAAGCCUGACGGAGCAACGCCGCGUGAGUGAUGAAGGUCUUCGGAUCGUAAAACUCUGUUAUUAGGGAAGAACAAAUGUGUAAGUAACUAUGCACGUCUUGACGGUACCUAAUCAGAAAGCCACGGCUAACUACGUG
This 497-nucleotide ribosomal RNA is filed under the name uncultured bacterium. RNAcentral describes it as "partial 16S ribosomal RNA". It matches the Rfam family "Bacterial small subunit ribosomal RNA", at positions 28 to 507 of the family's 1533-position model. The record is from RNAcentral.